CACACACACACACACACACACGCUUAUGUUUUAGCUUCCAAUUUUAUAUUAAGUUUUUUUGGCCCCUCUUGUUAUUAUUGUGGAUUUUAUGAUAACUGAACAGUCGAAUUUUUGGUUCUAAUGUUGAUCGAAUUAUAAUGCGGUUUCAUUUUGAUGGGGAUCAAUUUAUAUUUUUAAAGAGACCUAUAGAAGAAGAAAUGGGCAAUUACCAAUCCGAAGCAUCAAGGGUCAUUUUUAGCCUGGAUAAUCUGUUUGUGUGAUUUUGAGUUUCGAAAUUUCUUGAAAUGAUUGCUGCAUUUCUUAGUUGUGUUUGUUCUAGUGACUGAAAUAAUCUAGCCUUCUUUGCUUUAAGAUGGAGAAACUUCAUAUCUUGCCUUCCCUGCUUAAUCAUCUGCAAUUAGGUGUGGUGGAUGGUUUUUGUUGGAUUUCUUUCAUUAUUGGGUUUUGCCAGAAAUGAUUCAAUUUGUUUACAAUUUUUAUUUUCGUACCUUCUGUUUUUCGAAGAAGGAUUUUGGGAGUGGGGGUAGGGUUGUAAUUGUGCUGGGAUUGUUGUUGUGCUAUAAUGAAUUUAUGUGAUGGAUAUUUUCAUUCAUUUCUAGACGGCAGACAUGAAAUGCUUUUUCUGCUCAAUUGAUGACUUGGUUUCCUUUGCAAUGUAUCUGAUUUGAUUAUGUAGGUCUCAUAUAUCUAGUGUUCUUUCUUAUCACUGCCACAGAUGGUAUCCAGGAGAAAUUAUUUCCUCCUUUCAAAUAAGUACCCUUUUCUGUCAGAAAAUUGUUCGGUCACAAUAGUCAAUAAUGGUGAUUGGUGAAUCUUUGCGUUGUUAUGUGAAUUAUUCUAGUAUUUAUUCUCUUAUUUUUCAUUUGUUUUUUUCAUGUGAUUGCUUUGUUAUUCUCCACUUUAUGCCCGUUGUCCUUAUUAUUCUGGCCCUUUUUUGUUGUUUUUCUAGGUACAUUUAGUACUACGUAAGGUAUGUAGUCAUUUUAUCUGAUCCAGUCUUUUUUAUAUUUAUUGCUUAUCAGAAACAAGGUCCAGAUAGUAACAGCUGGUGCCAUUCCCCCACUUGUGGAACUUCUUAAGUUCCAAAAUGAUAGUUUAAGGGAAUUAGCCGCUGCUGCAAUUUUAACACUCUCAGCUGCUGAACCUAAUAAGCCAAUCAUUGCAGCUUCAGGAGCUGCGCCUCUUCUGGUUCAGAUUCUGAACUCUGGGAGUGUACAAGGAAAAGUUGAUGCUGUGACAGCACUACACAACCUCUCAUCCUGCCCCAAGAAUUCUCAUCCAAUUGUGGAUGCUAAAGCAGUUG
This 1303-nucleotide unclassified non-coding RNA is filed under the name Hevea brasiliensis (rubber tree). The record is from RNAcentral. Lineage: Eukaryota; Viridiplantae; Streptophyta; Magnoliopsida; Malpighiales; Euphorbiaceae.